UGGCAUAUUUAAUGAACCAUUAGCAAGUGUUUUCACGCCUUGCAGCCAGAUUAUCUGUUUCCUGGGUGGCAAAUCUUGGGAUCCUCAGAAACUGCCAGACUAGGGAACUAGUACACUCAUUGACCUCCGUUGUGAAAUAAAUUAUCAUUUAUACUCCAGCACAACUUGGUCCUUCCAAAAGUGAAAGUUAAAUAAUUCUUCUUUGCAUGUGUCCUCAACUUUAGUUAGGCCAGUGAAGCAUAUUCUUGAUGGAAUUAAUCAGUUGUGCCUGUUGGAUUAACAAAUAGAUCAAAACCUAUUGUGUGUGUAUGAGGCUCUGCUAUGCUGAAAUAUUACCAAGAGAAUGAGAAUUUUACAAAUUAAUUUUCUUAGAUGCUUUACUUUUAGAUCUUGUAAACCAUGAAGUGCUACAUGGAAAGAAUACAGUUAUUGGACAUUUAGACUUGGGAGCAACAUUAUAUUGAUGUAGUUGUACAGAUAU
Molecule: unclassified non-coding RNA, 481 nt
Filed under: Hevea brasiliensis (rubber tree)
Lineage: Eukaryota; Viridiplantae; Streptophyta; Magnoliopsida; Malpighiales; Euphorbiaceae
Source: RNAcentral